GGCCGCGGGAAUUCGAUUCAGGCCUAACACAUGCAAGUCGAACGGAGUAAAGACUUCGGUUUUUACUUAGUGGCGAACGGGUGAGUAACGCGUGAGAAACCUGCCUUUCAGUGGGGGACAACAGUUGGAAACGACUGCUAAUACCGCAUAAUGUCAUUUAAGGGCAUCCUUGAAUGACCAAAGAUUUAUUGCUGAAAGAUGGUCUCGCGUCUGAUUAGCUAGUUGGUGAGGUAACGGCUCACCAAGGCGACGAUCAGUAGCCGGUCUGAGAGGAUGAACGGCCACAUUGGGACUGAGAUACGGCCCAGACUCCUACGGGAGGCAGCAGUGGGGAAUAUUGGGCAAAGGGGGAAACCCUGACCCAGCAACGCCGCGGAACUAAGAUGGCCUUCGGGUUGUAAACUUCUUUACCAGGGACGAACAAAUGA
RNAcentral lists this ribosomal RNA (428 nucleotides) under uncultured bacterium. RNAcentral's name for it is "bacterial SSU rRNA". It matches the Rfam family "Bacterial small subunit ribosomal RNA", at positions 39 to 456 of the family's 1533-position model. The record is from RNAcentral.